GUGACCUACGGGGGGCAGCAGUGAGGAAUAUUGGUCAAUGGGCGCGAGCCUGAACCAGCCAAGUAGCGUGAAGGAUGACUGCCCUACGGGUUGUAAACUUCUUUUAUAAAGGAAUAAAGUGAGGCACGUGUGCCUUUUUGUAUGUACUUUAUGAAAAAGCAUCGGCUAACUCCGUGCCAGCAGCCGCGGUAAUACGGAGGAUGCGAGCGUUAUCCGGAUUUAUUGGGUUUAAAGGGUGCGCAGGCGGAGGUGCAAGUCAGCGGUCAAAUUGCGGGGCUCAACCCCGUACUGCCGUUGAAACUGCA
Molecule: ribosomal RNA, 305 nt
Filed under: uncultured bacterium
Lineage: Bacteria
Description: bacterial SSU rRNA
Rfam family: Bacterial small subunit ribosomal RNA
Source: RNAcentral